This 532-nucleotide ribosomal RNA is filed under the name uncultured bacterium. RNAcentral describes it as "bacterial SSU rRNA". It matches the Rfam family "Bacterial small subunit ribosomal RNA", at positions 979 to 1509 of the family's 1533-position model. The record is from RNAcentral.
CCUUGACAUACUAAGAACUUUCCAGAGAUGGAUUGGUGCCUUCGGGAACUUUAGAUACAGGUGCUGCAUGGCUGUCGUCAGCUCGUGUCGUGAGAUGUUGGGUUAAGUCCCGNAACGAGCGCAACCCUUUUCCUUAUUUGCCAGCGGGUCAUGCCGGGAACUUUAAGGAUACUGCCAGUGACAAACUGGAGGAAGGCGGGGACGACGUCAAGUCAUCAUGGCCCUUACGGCCAGGGCUACACACGUGCUACAAUGGUCGGUACAAAGGGUUGCUACCUCGCGAGAGGAUGCUAAUCUCAAAAAGCCGAUCGUAGUCCGGAUCGCAGUCUGCAACUCGACUGCGUGAGGUCGGAAUCGCUAGUAAUCGCGGAUCAGAAUGCCGCGGUGAAUACGUUCCCGGGCCUUGUACACACCGCCCGUCACACCAUGGGAGUUUGUUGCACCAGAAGUAGGUAGUCUAACCGCAAGGAGGACGCUUACCACGGUGUGGCCGAUGACUGGGGUGAAGUCGUAACAAGGUAGGCGUAGAUGA